GUUCAGUCAAACGGUCGCCUAGACUACACUUGUCUUGCCAACAUAGAGAAGCGCACUUCAGGACCAACAAAUGCAACAGGUUGAAGAGAGCUGCAAAUGAACCUCUGUCCUUGUAGGAAGGACUAUUGGAGUCCGUGGAUAGAGGUGAGGGAGGAGUGUAGAGUCAGGUGCUACCACUCAUGCAAUUAAGGGGUAAAUGCCUGGGGAGUGAGAGGGUCUGGGUAGGGAGGGACGAGUGAACAGAGGUGUGGGGAGAGCUUUUUCCGGAGAAAGCAAAAAGGGGUGGGAAUGGGAAGAUGUGGUAUGAUCACAGUGAAGAUGCCAGAAAUGUCGGGAGGAUCUGUUCCAUUUUGGAGGAAGAGUAGUAGUGAGAGCAGAAGUGCAGGAAACAGAGGUGAUGGGUGAGAUGGCCCAAACAUCUGCAGCAGGGGGAAUCCUGUUGGGCAGUGCAAUUCAUGCAUGGAGAUCUAGUUUUCGCAUAAUUUCUAUGCCUACGAGCAUUUUGUUAAACAAUUUUUAUGUUAUGUUGUUUGAAAAUUAAAUGUAAUAGACUUUGAGUUCUGCAAGAUCAUGCUGCCCUCUCCAUGUGCCCCUGAUCAAUAAGGGUUGGACAUUCCUAGUAUAGAGGAAAGGAAAUUCCUUCGAGGCUUUUCUAAAAUAGGAAAUACAGUCUAUCAACAAAUAUUAUUUCAAAACAUAAUUGAAGUCCUUCCUUAUUAUCACAGGUGUUCAUUUUUGUGUGUCCAGGCCUAUAUUAUUAUUUUUUACAACAAUAUUUUUAAGGUAUUUUCAUCAGUGCCCUUGCUUUCAGUUUAGUUUAGUUUAGAGAUACAGUGCGGAAUCAUGCCCUUCGGUCCAUCAUGUCCACACCGACCAGCGAUCCCCGCACACUUACACUAUCCUACACACACUAGGAACAAUUUUCAUUUGUACCAAGCCAAUUAACCUACAAACCUGUAUAUCUUUGGAGUGUGGGAUGAAACCAAAGAUCUCAGGCCACAGGGAGAACGUACAAUCUCUGUACAGACAGCACCCGUAGUUAGGAUCGAACCCGGGUCUCUGACACUGUAAGGCAGCAACUCUACUGCUGCGCCGCUGCGCCACCGUGCCACCCAUAUUUCAUGUUUCCAAAAUUUAGCAAGACUACCUUGGGACACUAUGUAUAAAUAGGGAAACAAAAACAAUUUUGAUCUGUCUUUUUAAUAUUUUGUGACAUUGUGACACUGAGGAUUGAGACUGAGACAGAGCCAGGCAGGCACAUACUUGGCUGCGUUCCAUUGGGAAGGGGUUGAUUUUAACACCACUGAUAAACUUUCCCUCCUAUCACUUGCAUAUUCAUGCAUGUUCUUACAAAACAUUAUUGGAAAGCAACAGUGUUAGAGAAGCCAGUCCAGCCCAAGUUCAAAGAUUGCUUGGAAUACAAGAAAGUUACACAAGCUAACAGAUAGCAAAACAUAAAGCACCAAUCAUGACAUGGGAAUAUCUCAAAGUAGUUCACAGCUUAUGAGACAUUUUUGAUGUACAGUCAUUCCUGACAUAUCGUUAAAAUGGAAUCGCAGUAGCAGUUAUUUUUGAUGGAUAAAUAUUAACCAGGGCAUCAAAUAUCUCCUGUUUCAUUUAGAAAAGGGGUCCGAAACCAGGAGCUACAGAUCUAAAUUAAUGAUGCAGUCAUGGUUAUACAGCAUGGAAACAGGCCCUUUGGCCCUCAAUGUACACGCUGACCAUCAACUAGCAAUCUAUACUAAUUUCAUUUACAAGUACUUGAUUUGUAGCUUUCUAAACUCUGGCUUUAAGUGUUGGUCCAGAUACUUAUUAAAUGUUUUGUGAGGACUUGCCUCCACUGCUUUCUCAGGCAAUAUGUCCUCUGGAUGAAGAAAGUUUCCUCAAAUUUCUUCCAAUCCACUUACUGCUCUUCUUAAACCUAUGCCCACUGAUGUUAGAGAUCUCUCUUAUUUCACUAUCUAUAGUGAAUAUGCCCCUCAUAAUUUUGUAUACCUCUAUUAGUCUCCUGCUUAACCACUCCACUCUAGGAGAAACAAUAUUAGCCUACCCAAUCUCUCUUUGUAACGGAAAUGUUACAUCCCUGGGUAACAUGCUGGUAAAUCUCCUCUGCACCCUUUGCAAUGCAAUGAUGUGGCAACCAGAGCUGCAUAUAAUACGCCAUCUAUAGACUCUCACCAAUAUUUCAUAAAACUGUACAAUGAUCUCCUUGCUCAUAUUCUAUACCCUGGCUAAUGAGAAUAAACAUUCCAGAUGCCUCCUAACCAUCUUUUUGACCUGUUCUGCCUUCUUUAGGGAUCAAUGAACAUGUACACUAUGGUGCAUCCGUUCUUCAAUACACCCUAGGGCCCCCACCAUUCGUUCAUAAUGUACAUCAUACCCUUAUUUGACCUUUCAAGGUACAUCUCCUCUCUCGUAUGGGGAUUAAAUUCCCUCUACCAUUGUUUGCCCACGUUUCCAACUGAUAAAUUUGCGAAUUAUACCUCCCACAUGCACUAACAAGUCAUUGUCUAUAUGAAUCUGUAAGAAUCUCAGCAUUACAUCAUUGGUCACAGAUUGCAAUCACAAUAGAAACCCUCCACCAUCAUUCUCAAUCUCUGAUAACCAAAUCAAGUUUGGAUCCAAUUUCUCAACUUGCUUUGGAUCCCAUGAGCUAUAACUUUAUAGACCAGCCUUCCAUAUGGGACCUUGUCAAAGGCCUUACUGAAGUCCAUGUGGACACCAUCAACGACACUGACCUCAUCAAUAUAUUUUGCUUCUUCAAGAAACAUGCUCAGAUUAUGCAAAACAGGAUCAAUGCCAUCAACAAACCCAUGCUAUCCUUGAUCAAUCCCUGCAUUUAAAAGUGUUGAUUAAUCCUCAGAGAUUUUAAAAUAAUUUCCCUAUUAGAUUCAUCUGCCUCUAAGUACCAGUGAAUCUGCCAAAUAAAGACGUCAAGUAUCCCCCAGUCAUCUGGCACCUUGGAACCAUGGACAAUGAAGGUUUAAAGACCUUUGUCAGGGUUCUAGCAAUCUCUUCCUUUGUCUCCUAUAGAAGUCUGCGAUUAAUCUCAUCAGGACCUGGCGAUUAUUUCACCGUAAUGCCAAUUAAGACAUUUAAUAUAUCCUCAAUUUUAAUGUUAAUGUGUUGCUGAAUCUUCCCAUCCCCUUCCCUGAAAUCUUCAAUGACAAGUUUUUAAUUUAAGACCUCACCUGUGUGCGCUGACUCAACAUACAGAUUGAUCCCUAAUAAUAAUAAUAAUAAUAAACUUUAUUACGGACUCAAGGUCCAGACAAGGGGCAACAUUCCAUUAAAAAUGCAUUGCAUAUCAAAUAUCAUAAAUAUACAUAAAGUCAUGGUAUAUCACAUAAAAACAUCAUCAUUUAUAUUUAACAAAAACCCACAAUACUUAAGUAAAAAUCCAGAUUAAAAGAUGAUCAAUGUCCUACAACGAGACAACGAUACCAGUAUCUCCACAACUGGGAUUCGUAGCGUGUAGUGCUAACCCUUAUGUUUGUCAAGGCCACAAUAAGCACAUUUUUAGAGUCAUUUAUCCUGCAAAUUAAUUUAUCCAUGUGGUGUCUUAGGGUAGCUUCUAAAGUACUGACUCCUGCAGCCACAAACAUAUUACUGGCACUACACCAUCUAGGUUGCCUUAGCAGUGUUCUCAUGGCAUCGUUAUAUGCCACCUUUAGUCUCUGCAUACUUGUCUUUAAAUAGUUCGACCACAGUUGUGCAGUGUGGAGGGGUGUGCAGUAUGCUCUAAAUAGCGACAUCUUCACCACAUCUGCACACGCACAAAAUUUACGCAAGAGGAUAUUUGCCUAAUAUUUCCCUGGUAACUCUCUUGAUCUUAAUAUACUAAUAAAGUGCUUUGGGAUUUUGCUUAAUCAUAUCUGCCAAUUAUAUUUUGUGGCCCUUAAUUGCUCUCCUAUUUUUUUUUUUGAAGCACCUCCAUAAACAUGCUGUACUCCUGAAGGGCAUUGCUUGUUUUCAGUGUUCAAAAACAAAACACUGCCAUUUGCUUUUAUUUCUUCAUGAAAUCCUUGAUAUUCCUCAACAUCUAGUGUCCCCUUGAGUUGCCUUCCUCGCCAUUUACCCUAACAGGAACCUAUUAGCCCCAAACUCUCACUAUUUCUCUUUCAAAAGACUUCCCGCUGUCAGAUGCAGAUUUACCUCACUGCUCCCAGUCUGCUUCUGCCAGGUCAUGUUUUAGGAUGCAACAAUGAGACACAUCACUCACUGGUCUAGUAUGCCGCAAAACAUUUUAAUGUUCAUGGGAUAAAUCAAAAUAAGAAACCCGAGCGCCAAUAGUUUGUCCUUCGGCAGACAAAGGAGUGAAAUAAUACAAGAAGAACAUUCAACACUGUUGCUAGGCAACAGGCAUGGCUGCAUUUAAACUAAUUUUCACAGCAGACUUCUCCAAGAAUUAAAGUAGCCCGAGAGCUCUCUAAUCUCAUGACAAUGCUUCUUUAAUUCAUAAUGUCUAGAGUAAUUAUAUCCCAUCUGUGGCUGGGA
Leucoraja erinaceus (little skate) is the source of this 4497-nucleotide long non-coding RNA. RefSeq lists it as uncharacterized. The transcript is spliced from 2 exons. The record is from RefSeq and is a predicted model, not a curated record. Lineage: Eukaryota; Metazoa; Chordata; Chondrichthyes; Rajiformes; Rajidae.